This 400-nucleotide ribosomal RNA is filed under the name uncultured bacterium. Its description in RNAcentral is "bacterial SSU rRNA". It matches the Rfam family "Bacterial small subunit ribosomal RNA", at positions 355 to 772 of the family's 1533-position model. The record is from RNAcentral.
UGGGGAAUAUUGGGCAAUGGGCGCAAGCCUGACCCAGCCAUGCCACGUGAGUGAUGAAGGCCUUCGGGUUGUAAAGCUCUUUCGGAUGUGAUGAUGAUGACAGUAGCAUCUAAAGAAGCACCGGCUAACUUCGUGCCAGCAGCCGCGGUAAUACGAAGGGUGCAAGCGUUGUUCGGAAUUACUGGGCGUAAAGGGUGUGUAGGCGGUUUGAUAAGAUAGGGGUGAAAUCCCGGGGCUUAACCUCGGAACUGCCUUUAUAACUAUUAGACUUGAAUAAUGGAGAGGACAGUGGAAUACCCAGUGUAGAGGUGGAAUUCGUAGAUAUUGGGUAGAACACCAGAGGCGAAGGCGACUGUCUGGCCAUUAAUUGACGCUGAGGCACGAAAGUGUGGGGAGCAAA